UCCUAAUGAGGGCAAUGGAUUGCAGUCUGUCCGUGUUGCCAUGGCGAUGCAGUUUGCAGUCAAUGGAAGUGUGUGGCAGUCAGACUGAAGCAGCAGCAGGGCGCGAGACAGACAGAGACUAAUGCUGGAAACAAAUCAAACCGAGCGCUGAAAACUGCUGCGAUACUCAAAGCGCUACUCAUUCUGAUUAAGCAAGGAUGAAGCCAAAUAUACUGGUCUACAGAGGAAGAUUAAUCCACGUAGGUGAAUCUGUCUUCAUAAAGAGCAUGCUUGAGAACAAUCUUAAGAUAACUAAAAUUAAGAAGUUGGUGAAUCUGUUCAUUAGUGUUCACACACCUGUGUCCAUGAAGAGCAUAUCUUCAGAAGAAAUGAUCUGUCAAGGAUACAAAGAAAAAUCAAGGGAUUUUUCUCCUGAGCUACGAGAGAGCAACCUAUAAGCAAUGAAGGUGUCCUUUGUGUAAUUUCCAGCAAUAUGAAAUGCUGUGACACAUUAUAGAGCGUGAAGCUGAGCUGAAGAACUCUUUGUUGUAUUGGAUGGUGUUCACACUAAAUUAAACUGCUGUCGAUGCAGAACUCAAUGUUAAAUUUGGCUCAUCGCAGCUCAUCACAGAUAUAAUAGCCCUCUGUAUGCCAGUAUGUAACUCUUAAAUGCAUGCUUCAUUCAAAAAUGAAAAUUGUCAUCUAUUUACUCACCAUAAUGUUGGUCUUAACCUGUACGAUUUGCUUUCUUCUGUGGAACAUAAGAGAUGUUGGGCAUGAAUGUUUAAGCUGUUGAUUUGCACAAUACAGAAGUUAAUGAGAACUUUAAAGCUCCAAAAAUACAAAGUUCUCAAAUCUCACACCUGUAUGCAAUUCUAACUAAAUUAAAUCUGACAACGAAUCUGUAAUAUGGUUUCUUAUAAAUAACACAUAAAAAAAAAAAACAGCACAAAUAUUAAGCUCUCUCUGAAGUAUUGCCCGCAUCUCAGAACACAAGCAAAUAUUAAGCUCUCUCUUAAGUAUUGUGUUUGAAUGGACAAAUUCACACAAAAAUUAUGUCAAAAUCUUGGUAAGUAUCCUAUAGCAGACAUAGCCGGCUGAACGUACUGUAGCAGUGCAUUCUCUUGAAGAGACAGUCUUAAUAUUAAUCGAACAGCAACAACAAAUAAAUCAUUUAUUGCUUUUGAUUGGAUAGCUUUU
This is a long non-coding RNA of Cyprinus carpio (common carp), 1179 nucleotides long. The record is from Ensembl. Lineage: Eukaryota; Metazoa; Chordata; Actinopteri; Cypriniformes; Cyprinidae.